CCUUGUCUCUCCUGUAACGAAGUAAAAAUAAAGAAAAAAAAUAAUCACAAAUCACAUCUUCUCACACUUUAUCAAAAGCUCCAAAAUCUAUCAUUGAAAAACAAUAAAUCACACAAGUUUAGUACUUACAGACAUUUAGAUGCUCCAAAAGAACUGCACUAGUAUUAGCCUAAAUCUGUAAAUCAGAAAGAAAUUUAUUUUUAGUUAGGUUUAAAUGGAAAAUAGAAGAAGACAGAGAUGGAGAAGAUGAAGAAGAAGUUAAUAAUCUCUGAGAAAAUAGAUGGAGAAGAUGAAGAAGAACACACCUUCACUUGAUAUAUGCAGCUGAAGAUUGAAAAAAACUGCUGUAUCUAAUGGAGAAGUUUAUGAAGGAAAGAUGCUGCUCCUCUCAAAACUCCAUGGUUUGGCUUAUUGUGGCAACACUGGCGAGAUAUACCCUUAACAAUACGUGGUCUGCAAUUCCGGCUUCACUGAUUUCAGGUCAAUUUAUUAGUUUACCGUUUUUGCUAGUAGUUGUUCCCUUCUUUCAUCUCUCUUCUAAAUGGUCUUUAGUCUUAAAAUAACAUUCAAAGUUUCAAAGUGAAGUUUACAUUCUGUUAGGUUGAGGCACAUAAGUAGAUGCUAUGUAAUUUGCUCAAAACUUAAGUCAACAUUUUGGCACCCAUAUGUUCCAUUGCCACUAUUAUCUAAGUUCCUCCUUCCAGCCCUAGAUGUAUGCAACUUUAGUUAUGGUACAAGUACUUUUGUAUUUUACAACCUACCUCUUGUGAAUGAUGUUUUUUUUUUCCU
Long non-coding RNA from Papaver somniferum (opium poppy), 789 nucleotides. RefSeq lists it as uncharacterized. The record is from RefSeq and is a predicted model, not a curated record. The transcript is spliced from 2 exons. NCBI's taxonomy places the organism in Eukaryota, Viridiplantae, Streptophyta, Magnoliopsida, Ranunculales, Papaveraceae.